UGUGCCAGCCGCCGCGGUAAUACGUAGGUGGCAAGCGUUAUCCGGAAUUAUUGGGCGUAAAGCGCGCGCAGGCGGUUUCUUAAGUCUGAUGUGAAAGCCCACGGCUCAACCGUGGAGGGUCAUUGGAAACUGGGGAACUUGAGUGCAGAAGAGAAAAGCGGAAUUCCACGUGUAGCGGUGAAAUGCGUAGAGAUGUGGAGGAACACCAGUGGCGAAGGCGGCUUUUUGGUCUGUAACUGACGCUGAGGCGCGAAAGCGUGGGGAGCAAACAGGAUUAGAAACCCCUGUAGUCCA
This 294-nucleotide ribosomal RNA is filed under the name uncultured Bacillus sp. Its description in RNAcentral is "partial 16S ribosomal RNA". It matches the Rfam family "Bacterial small subunit ribosomal RNA", at positions 504 to 797 of the family's 1533-position model. The record is from RNAcentral. Lineage: Bacteria; Bacillati; Bacillota; Bacilli; Caryophanales; Bacillaceae.